UACGAAGGUGUCGAACGUUGUCCGGGAUAACUGGGCGUAAAGGGCGCGUAGGCGGUCGGGUAAGUGGGAUGUGAAAGCUCUGGGCUCAACCCAGGAAUUGCAUUCCAUACUGCUCGACUUGAGUUCGGUAGAGGAAAGUGGAAUUCCUAGUGUAGCGGUGAAAUGCGUAGAUAUCAGGAGGAACACCGGUGGUGUAGACGGCUUUCUGGACCGACACUGACGCUGAAACACGAAAGCGUGGGUAGCAAACAGG
RNAcentral lists this ribosomal RNA (253 nucleotides) under uncultured prokaryote. Its description in RNAcentral is "partial 16S ribosomal RNA". It matches the Rfam family "Bacterial small subunit ribosomal RNA", at positions 524 to 776 of the family's 1533-position model. The record is from RNAcentral.